AUUCCGGUUGAUCCUGCCGGAGGCCAUUGCUAUCGGAGUCCGAUUUAGCCAUGCUAGUUGUGCGGGUUUAGACCCGCAGCGGAAAGCUCAGUAACACGUGGCCAAGCUACCCUGUGGACGGGAAUACUCUCGGGAAACUGAGGCUAAUCCCCGAUAACGCUUUGCUCCUGGAAGGGGCAAAGCCGGAAACGCUCCGGCGCCCCACAGAAUGCGGGCUGCGGCUCGAUUUAGGUAGACGGUGGGGUNACGGCCCACCAGUGCCCAUAAUCGGUACGGGUUGUGAGAGCAAGAGCCCGGAGACGGAAUCUGAGACAAGAUUCCGGGCCCUACGGGGCGCAGCAGGCGCGAAACCUUUACACUGUACGACAGUGCGAUAAGGGGAUCUCCGAGUGUGAAGGCAUAGAGCCUUCACUUUUGUACACCGUAAGGUGGUGCACGAAUAAGGACUGGGCAAGACCGGUGCCAGCCGCCGCGGUAAUACCGGCAGUCCGAGUGAUGGCCGAUCUUAUUGGGCCUAAAGCGUCCGUAGCUGGCUGAACAAGUCCAUUGGGAAAUCUAUCCGCUUAACGGGCAGGCGUCCAGCGGAAACUGUUCAGCUUGGGACCGGAAGACGUGAGGGGUACGUCUGGGGUAGGAGUGAAAUCCUGUAAUCCUGGACGGACCGCCGGUGGCGAAAGCGCCUCAGGAGAACGGAUCCGACAGUGAGGGACGAAAGCUAGGGUCUCGAACCGGAUUAGAUACCCGGGUAGUCCUAGCUGUAAACGAUGUCCGCUAGGUGUGGCUGCAGGUCUACGAGCCUGCGCUGUGCCGUAGGGAAGCCGAGAAGCGGACCGCCUGGGAAGUACGUCUGCAAG
RNAcentral lists this ribosomal RNA (854 nucleotides) under Halobacterium salinarum. RNAcentral's name for it is "bacterial SSU rRNA". It matches the Rfam family "Archaeal small subunit ribosomal RNA", at positions 1 to 847 of the family's 1478-position model. Lineage: Archaea; Methanobacteriati; Methanobacteriota; Halobacteria; Halobacteriales; Halobacteriaceae. The record is from RNAcentral.